AUGGUUGUUAUGCAAUAAGUGUGAUUUUAACAAUUCCAUAGACUUCAUAGAAACAUGUUUUUCACUGAGAUCAUUGGUUUUAAGAAAAAUAGCAACAAUUCUUAAUAUUUUGUUUUCCACACAUCAAUGUAGUUACAUUUCAUUAUUUGCAUAUCCUAAAUCAAUGGUCGCUUAGUCACCAAUAAAACUUAAAAUGUCAGCUAAAAAUGUUUUU
Cinara cedri is the source of this 214-nucleotide non-coding RNA. NCBI's taxonomy places the organism in Eukaryota, Metazoa, Arthropoda, Insecta, Hemiptera, Aphididae. The record is from the annotation of a GenBank genome assembly.